CGAUAACGAACGAGACCUUAACCUGCUAAAUAGCCCGUAUUGCUUUGGCAGUACGCCGGCUUCUUAGAGGGACUAUCGGCUCAAGCCGAUGGAAGUUUGAGGCAAUAACAGGUCUGUGAUGCCCUUAGAUGCUCUGGGCCGCACGCGCGCUACACUGACAGAGCCAGCGAGUACUCCCUUGGCCGGAAGGCCCGGGUAAUCUUGUUAAACUCUGUCGUGCUGGGGAUAGAGCAUUGCAAUUAUUGCUCUUCAACGAGGAAUCCCUAGUAAGCGCAAGUCAUCAGCUUGCGUUGAUUACGUCCCUGCCCUUUGUACACACCGCCCGUCGCUACUACCGAUUGAAUGGCU
RNAcentral lists this ribosomal RNA (348 nucleotides) under uncultured fungus. RNAcentral describes it as "SSU rRNA". It matches the Rfam family "Eukaryotic small subunit ribosomal RNA", at positions 1326 to 1698 of the family's 1831-position model. The record is from RNAcentral. Lineage: Eukaryota; Fungi.